RNAcentral lists this small RNA (1431 nucleotides) under Pan troglodytes (chimpanzee). RNAcentral describes it as "retained intron". Lineage: Eukaryota; Metazoa; Chordata; Mammalia; Primates; Hominidae. The record is from RNAcentral.
AGAGGGAGGAAGGACAGCAGACCAGACAGUCACAGCAGCCCUGACAAAAGCGUUCCUGGAACUCAAGCUCUUCUCCACAGAGGAGGACAGAGCAGACAGCAGAGACCAUGGAGUCUCCCUGGGCCCCUCCCUACAGAUGGUGCAUCCCCUGGCAGAGGCUCCUGCUCACAGCCUCACUUCUAACCUUCUGGAACCCGCCCACCACUGCCAAGCUCACUAUUGAAUCCACGCCGUUCAAUGUCGCAGAGGGGAAGGAGGUGCUUCUACUUGUCCACAAUCUGCCCCAGCAUCUUUUUGGCUACGUCUGGUACAAAGGGGAAAGAGUGGAUGCCAACCAUCAAAUUAUAGGAUAUGUAAUAGGAACUCAACAAGCUACCCCAGGGCCCGCAUACAGUGGUCGAGAGACAGUAUACCCCAAUGCAUCCCUGCUGAUCCAGAACAUCAUCCAGAAUGACACAGGAUUCUAUACCCUACACAUCAUAAAGUCAGAUCUUGUGAAUGAAGAAGCAACUGGCCAGUUCCGGGUAUACCCGGAGCUGCCCAAGCCCUCCAUCUCCAGCAACAACUCCAAACCCGUGGAGGACAAGGAUGCUGUGGCCUUCACCUGUGAACCUGAGACUCAGGACACAACCUACCUGUGGUGGGUAAACAAUCAGAGCCUCCCGGUCAGUCCCAGGCUGCAGCUGUCCAAUGGCAACAGGACCCUCACUCUAUUCAAUGUCACAAGAAAUGACACAGCAAGCUACAAAUGUGAAACCCAGAACCCAGUGAGUGCCGGGCACAGUGAUUCAGUCAUCCUGAAUGUCCUCUGUGAGUAUAUCUGCUCCUCUCUGGCCCAGGCUGCCAGCCCAAAUCCACAGGGCCAGAGGCAGGAUUUCUCAGUCCCUCUCAGGUUCAAGUACACAGACCCUCACCCCUGGACAUCCAGACUGUCUGUGACUUUCUGCCCCAGAAAAACCUGGGCAGACCAAGUCUUGACCAAGAAUAGGAGGGGAGGGGCUGCUCCUGUCCUGGGAGGCUCAGGGUCCACACCCUAUGAUGGGAGAAACAGGUGAAUAUCUCAGACUCAGGCUCAGUAGAUACAAGAGGGGUUUGGUUGAGACUUUAGGAUUGUGAUUCAGCUUAGAGGGACACUGUGGUCCUUCCAUAGACCAGCAACUUCCACUUCCCUCUGACAAUAUCACCUGUGGCUUUAUUUUGUUUGCUCCAGAUGGCCCGGAUGCCCCCACCAUUUCCCCUCUAAACACAUCUUACAGAUCAGGGGAAAAUCUGAACCUCUCCUGCCACGCAGCCUCUAACCCACCUGCACAGUACUCUUGGUUUGUCAAUGGGACUUUCCAGCAAUCCACCCAAGAGCUCUUUAUCCCCAACAUCACUGUGAAUAAUAGCGGAUCCUAUACGUGCCAAGCCCAUAACUCAGACACUGGCCUC